This 465-nucleotide ribosomal RNA is filed under the name uncultured bacterium. Its description in RNAcentral is "partial 16S ribosomal RNA". It matches the Rfam family "Bacterial small subunit ribosomal RNA", at positions 28 to 507 of the family's 1533-position model. The record is from RNAcentral.
GACGAACGCUGGCGGCGUGCUUAACACAUGCAAGUCGUACGGUAAGGCCCUUUCGGGGGUACACGAGUGGCGAACGGGUGAGUAACACGUGAGUAACCUGCCCACAACUUUGGGAUAACGCUAGGAAACUGGUGCUAAUACUGGAUAUGUGCUCCUGCUGCAUGGUGGGGGUUGGAAAGCUCCGGCGGUUGUGGAUGGACUCGCGGCCUAUCAGCUUGUUGGUGGGGUAGUGGCCUACCAAGGCGGCGACGGGUAGCCGGCCUGAGAGGGUGACCGGCCACAUUGGGACUGAGAUACGGCCCAGACUCCUACGGGAGGCAGCAGUGGGGAAGAUUGCACAAUGGGCGCAAGCCUGAUGCAGCAACGCCGCGUGCGGGAUGACGGCCUUCGGGUUGCAAACCGCUUUCAGCAGGGACGAAGCUUUUUGUGACGGUACCUGCAGAAGAAGCACCGGCUAACUACGUG